Molecule: long non-coding RNA, 779 nt
Filed under: Chloebia gouldiae (Gouldian finch)
Lineage: Eukaryota; Metazoa; Chordata; Aves; Passeriformes; Passeridae
Description: Erythrura gouldiae (Gouldian finch) lncRNA (ENSEGOG00005000806.1)
Source: RNAcentral
CAGGGGAGGAAGGACAGGGAGAGUGCGUGUGUGCGAGAGGGGGGAGAGGCAGGGGAAACUGCAGAGAGCGAGAAGAAAAGUGCGGUAGAAGCCCGGCCCCGGGGCAUGGAGAGAACGCCUCGUUCAAACCGUGUUGGGCACCGCUCUUCAUUAAGUGAUCGCUGCUAUCAAACACGCUCUGGAUGUCUUGAAGGGGAGGGGGGGCGGGGAGAGGCGGAGGGAAGAGGGGGAAAUCCCUUUUAGUUUUGCGAUUAGGCUGCCGGGCUUUGUAAAGGGCUUAAAAACAAAGUCAUGCUCAGUCUUUUGUAGGAGAGAUCCAGAUGUUAUGUAGAUUUCUGUUUGCAUGUUCGUUUUGAGCGGAUCCGGCGGUGAGCGCAGUAUUUACGUGUGUGUGUUGCUGGACUUUACCGUUUAUCGACGUUGCGCUUGUGGAAUGUAUGCUGGAGUAUUAGCUCGAGGAUCUCCUCCAAGAUUAAAGCUAGUCCUAAGAGCAACCGAAUUGCUGUGACUGACUUUCACGGGACUGUAAAGAGAGGUGUGUGUUAGAACAGGGUGAAACUCAACAGUGACCUUUCUUUAGAAGAAAGUACUUGGGAAGAAGAAAUAGAGGUAUCUCUCUGUGCUGAAGAAGUAGAUGGCAUGGAAUACGGAAGGGCGGAUCAAAGUAUUCACUAGACAAAUACAAAUUUAGGAAAGGGUUCUGGGCUGUGUUUGGAACAAAGAAUAUACUGAGGUCUAACAGCUUUUAAUUUCUGAUCUACUUAUAUAUUAUAUUGUUG